CCUUUUUUUUUUUUUUUCCAAGGUACCUAAAAUAAUGGCUUUUUAAGACAGUAAUAAAGCCAUGUAACUUGUGGGGAAAAGCACACUGUGGCUCACAAUCUGAAUUAAACGUGUGUCAUUGGGGCCUUUGAUCCUGGCUCUCCAGUCGUGGGAACCAGGAGAAGUCAUCUCCUGUGAACUGUGAGUAGGAAGCUGCGAGGGAAUCAGCAGAUGAGUUUGAAGGAGCAUGAUGGAUGGAAUCAGGCCAUUCUGAGCACCAUAAAAAACUUGUUUUAGCGUUGCUGCGGGGGAAAUCUUCUACCUUCAAGAAACCUGAUAUUUUGGACCAGAUCCCUGUCUGAACAGGUUGUGUGCUGCCCUUUUCAAAAUCAAGCUAUCAGAGGAUGCCCUUCAGCAGAAGUGUUAAGAGGACUUGAGAUCAGAGCAUGGCCAUGGAAUAACAACAGCUACAAAUAUAUCUCCAUAUGCUGAGGCAGUUACCUACGAGAUCGUGUUCCCUGGAUAGUGGUGUUUGUAAAUAUAGAUGUAUACACAACACAGGUAGGGAUGAA
This is a non-coding RNA of Zonotrichia albicollis (white-throated sparrow), 551 nucleotides long. NCBI's taxonomy places the organism in Eukaryota, Metazoa, Chordata, Aves, Passeriformes, Passerellidae. The record is from RefSeq and is a predicted model, not a curated record.